UCUCCGUUGGUGAACCAGCGGAGGGAUCAUUACUGCAUCGCAAGAUCCCACAACCCCGUGAACCUACCGAAACGUUGCCUCGGCGGGUGCCCGGCCUCUGCGCCGGGCGCUGCGCCCGCCGGCGGCCCCCUACUCUGUCUCUGCAGCGUGGCAUCUCAGAGUCCCAGAAAACAAGUCAAAACUUUCAACAACGGAUCUCUUGGCUCUA
This 208-nucleotide unclassified non-coding RNA is filed under the name plant metagenome. Its description in RNAcentral is "partial contains small subunit ribosomal RNA, internal transcribed spacer 1, and 5.8S ribosomal RNA". The record is from RNAcentral.